CUGUAUCCAGGCAAUGUGACGAGCACCUGUGGUCAACACUGGUUAAUUAGUUGUUAAACCGGUUAAAUAUAAUAUUUACAAAAUACUAUAGCCAUAUUCUAACGUAGCUAUAUAACUAUAUUCUAACGGUUACGCAUUUAAGACGAAACGCUCUUCACUGGCGGAGAUAGUUUCGAACGCCCGCCAUUUUUGUCGAAAUAAUGCGCCAAAUAAACUGAUGUCUUGUUUCGUUUAUUUAAGCCAACCCAAAGGAGCUAACAAAUAAAUCAUCAGUCCUCAAAAGAAUCAACCAGUGAAGGAGAAAAACAUUCAAAGCCGUAAAUUGUCAAAUCCAUCAGUUGGAAGAUGGAUGUCAAAGUCUCAGACAACGAAAGGCUUCCAGAGUUAAGAAAAGACCACUUCAACAAAAACAAUCAUGCAAAGAAUGACUGCAAAAAAUCUUUUCGCAGAUGCGUUUCAUCAUCAAGUGUAUAAGGAAAAGGGACCUGGGUACAGAGACUAGAUGUAAAUGUCAAGGACUGAAAUGAGCAAUUCAAUGGUUUCUUACUAAUUGUGUUUAUAUGCGUCAUAAGAAAUUAAAACUGUUAUAAAUGGAUGUGUAGUAAUGAUGAAAUUAUCACCCUGUGUCGAAUGACAUUAACUAUUCAUGAAUUUAGUUCAUGAAUGACAUUUUGAAAAAAUAAUGUUCAUGAACUGUCAAGCUCAUUUACUAAGCAGGAGUUCAUGAACUUAGUGGGAGUUCAUGAACAUGAUUUGUCCAAAUUGUCAUUCAUGAAUAGUUCAUGUUAUUCUCAUCAAACGCUUGACGUCACUGACAUGGAUAAGUAAUUUGCUGGACUAAAGAAGCUCGAUACAUGGAAAAUGAUAAAUGCGAAUCAAUUAAUACGCUGUCGUUCUAGAAUCAAAAUAACAACUGUAUGACUAACUUUUAUCAGUAAAUACAAAACUGAGUUUGGCGCGCUGAUGCAAAAAAUUA
This is a long non-coding RNA of Mya arenaria, 976 nucleotides long. RefSeq lists it as uncharacterized. The transcript has 3 exons. The record is from RefSeq and is a predicted model, not a curated record. NCBI's taxonomy places the organism in Eukaryota, Metazoa, Mollusca, Bivalvia, Myida, Myidae.